AAAUGUGAGACUGCGGACGGCUCAGUAAAUCAGUUAUAAUCUGCUCGAUUGUUAAGGGUUAUUGGAUAACCGUGGGAAAUCUAGAGCUAAUACAUGUAAUAAAGGAGGAGAGAAAUCGAAUCUGAUGGCAUUUAUUAGACAAUUACCAAUCGUAGGGUAAAACCUAUGUGGUGAAUCUAGAUAACUUUGCAGAUCGUAUGGCCAAGAGCUGACGACAUUUCGAUUGAAUUUCUGCCCUAUCAACUAUUGUCGGUAGUGUAGUGGACUACCGAGGUUUUUACGGGUGACGGGGGAUCAGGGUUCGAUUCCGGAGAGGGAGCCUGAGAAACGGCUACCACAUCCAAGGAAGGCAGCAGGCGCGCAAAUUACCCAAUCCAGACAAUGGGAGGUGGUGACGAAAAGUACCGGAUGACGAUCAAUGAUUGUCAAUUCGGAAUGGAAUCAAUUUAAGCAAUUGGUUGAGAAACGACUGGAGGGCAAGUCUGGUGCCAGCAGCCGCGGUAAUUCCAGCUCCAGUAGCGUAUCUCAAAGUUGCUGCGCUUAAAACGCUCGUAGUUGGAUCACAAACUAUGCAACGGUUGAUAUGACGGUAAGUCAAAAAUGAAGAUUUGGCAGUAUGUCAUCAUAUUGUUGAUGAUUCAUCUGGGUUAUCGUGAUAUCAUAAGCUGGGGUGUAGUAAUUGCAUGUGAGGAUAGAUAUUGGCCUUGAGUGAGCUGAUGUUUGUGUCUCGCAGAGUGUGCCUUGAGUAAAUCAGAGUGCUUAAAGCAGGCUUGACGCUUGAAUGUUAUAGCAUGGAACGAACAAUCGUGUAUGGUGUAUAUUGGGUAUUGAUUGGUAGACUCGUUUAUCAAUCAUCAAUGUACGACACCGACCACCAAUGAACGGAUGUUGGUUCCGUCAUGGGGUAUCGAUUAAGAGGAGCGGUUGGGGGCAUUGGUAUUUGGCAGCGAGAGGUGAAAUUCUUGGACCUGUCAAGGACUAACAAAUGCGAAGGCAUCUGUCCAGACCGUAUCCAUUAAUCAAGAACGAUAGUGAGAGGUUCGAAGACGAUCAGAUACCGUCCUAGUUCUCACCGUAAACUAUGCCGACCCGGGAUCAGUUUGGAGCUUUGUUCCAUGCUCGGAGUUGGUCCCCCUGGGAAACCUAAAGUUUUUCGGUUGCGGGGGGAGUAUGGUCGCAAGGCUGAAACUUAAAGGAAUUGACGGAAGGGCACCACCAGGGGUGGAGCCUGCGGCUUAAUUUGACUCAACACGGGAAAACUUACCUGGUCCGAACAUCCGAAGGAUACACAGACUAAUAGAUCUUUGUUGAUGGGGUGAAAAGUGGUGCAUGGCCGUUCUUAGUUCGUGGAGUGAUCUGUCAGGCCAAUCCCGGUAACGAACGAGACUACAUUCUCCAUUUGACGAAUUAGAGAAGACCGGUUAUGAGCAGUUGGCGACAAUUGUUAUGUAAUUUGGUUGUGGGAAGUAUGAGCGACGUUGUUCGGAGACCAAUUGUGGCAACAUGGUUGGAGGAAGGCUGCUAGCUUAUACUCCCUCUGGUUUAGCAAUGUACAGUGUACGUUGUAUCAUGGAGAGACAGCGGAAUAUAUUACAAAAUCCGAGGAAGUGUAGCUAUAACAGGUCCGUGAUGCCCUUAGAUGUUCAGGGCUGCACGCGCGCUACAAUGAUGGCAACAACGAGUUUCUAAAUCGAAAGAUUUGGGUAAUCUUGCAAUUGUCAUCGUGAUGGGGAUCGACGUUUGUAAAUACGUCGUGAAAGAGGAAUCCCUAGUACGUGCGAUUCAUGCAGAUCGCGCGGAUUGCGUCCCUGCCCUUUGUACACACCGCCCGUCGCUACUACCGAGUGAAUGGUGUCAUAAUACCUUGGGAGCGGACGUUAC
RNAcentral lists this ribosomal RNA (1881 nucleotides) under Myxobolus episquamalis. Its description in RNAcentral is "SSU rRNA". It matches the Rfam family "Eukaryotic small subunit ribosomal RNA". The record is from RNAcentral. Lineage: Eukaryota; Metazoa; Cnidaria; Myxozoa; Bivalvulida; Myxobolidae.